This 139-nucleotide ribosomal RNA is filed under the name uncultured bacterium. RNAcentral describes it as "partial 16S ribosomal RNA". It matches the Rfam family "Bacterial small subunit ribosomal RNA", at positions 355 to 509 of the family's 1533-position model. The record is from RNAcentral.
UGGGGAAUAUUGCACAAUGGGGGAAAACCCGUGAUGCAGCGACGCCGCGUGAAGGAAGAAGUAUCUCGGUAUGUAAACUUCUAUCAGCAGGGAAGAUAGUGACGGUACCUGACUAAGAAGCCCCGGCUAACUACGUGCC